This 492-nucleotide ribosomal RNA is filed under the name uncultured bacterium. RNAcentral's name for it is "partial 16S ribosomal RNA". It matches the Rfam family "Bacterial small subunit ribosomal RNA", at positions 29 to 507 of the family's 1533-position model. The record is from RNAcentral.
AGUGAACGCUGGCGGUAGGCCUAACACAUGCAAGUCGAACGGCAGCACAGUAAGAGCUUGCUCUUACGGGUGGCGAGUGGCGGAUGGGUGAGGAAUACAUCGGAAUCUACUUUUUCGUGGGGGAUAACGUAGGGAAACUUACGCUAAUACCGCAUACGACCUACGGGUGAAAGCAGGGGAUCUUCGGACCUUGCGCGAUUGAAUGAGCCGAUGUCGGAUUAGCUAGUUGGCGGGGUAAAGGCCCACCAAGGCGACGAUCCGUAGCUGGUCUGAGAGGAUGAUCAGCCACACUGGAACUGAGGCACGGUCCAGACUCCUACGGGAGGCAGCAGUGAGGAAUAUUGGACAAUGGGCGCAAGCCUGAUCCAGCCAUACCGCGUGGGUGAAGAAGGCCUUCGGGUUGUAAAGCCCUUUUGUUGGGAAAGAAAAGCAGCAGGUUAAUACCCCGCUGUUCUGACGGUACCCAAAGAAUAAGCACCGGCUAACUUCGUG